This 238-nucleotide ribosomal RNA is filed under the name uncultured bacterium. RNAcentral's name for it is "partial 16S ribosomal RNA". It matches the Rfam family "Bacterial small subunit ribosomal RNA", at positions 524 to 761 of the family's 1533-position model. The record is from RNAcentral.
UACGGAGGGGGCUAGCGUUGUUCGGAAUUACUGGGCGUAAAGCGCACGUAGGCGGCUUUGUAAGUUAGAGGUGAAAGCCCAGGGCUUAACCCUGGAAUUGCCUUUAAGACUGCAUCGCUAGAAUCGUGGAGAGGUGAGUGGAAUUCCGAGUGUAGAGGUGAAAUUCGUAGAUAUUCGGAAGAACACCAGUGGCGAAGGCGACUCACUGGACACGUAUUGACGCUGAGGUGCGAAAGCG